Homo sapiens (human) is the source of this 10371-nucleotide long non-coding RNA. RefSeq lists it as uncharacterized. NCBI's taxonomy places the organism in Eukaryota, Metazoa, Chordata, Mammalia, Primates, Hominidae. The record is from RefSeq and is a predicted model, not a curated record. The transcript is spliced from 3 exons.
CUUUUUCUCCUGAGAACAGUGCCAGCAGCUGGCUUCGUGACAUUCUGGAAGCCCCGUGCAAUGCUGUCAGGAGCAUAGGGAUUUUACUUUAUCUCCCUUGCUUAUGCUCCACAUAACUGAAAUAUCUCACUGGAAGCUGCAGCAGUGCUGGCCCCUUGCACAGCCAUAUGUGACCACUGCAGAACAAUCAGUUGGAGAGACAGUUUGGACUACAUGGAGGGUGGAGAUAAGGACAAAGUGAAGAAUACACAGGAACCAGUGCCUCCUCCUGGAACUAUGCAACUCCAAGCUGCUUCCAUCAGCUGCUAGGUCCAGUAGGGAGGGACCUACUGAGAGGUGAUUGGAUUAUGGGGGCGGUUUCCCCCAUGCUGUUCUCAUGAUCGUGAGUGAGUUCUCAUUUGAUCUGAUGGUUUCACGAAAGGCUCUUUCUCCUUUGCUUUCUCUUCUCUCUCCUGCUGCUAUGUGAAGAAGGUGCCUGCUUCCCUUUCCGCUGUGAUUGUAAGUUUCCUGAGGCCUCCUCAGCCAUGUGGAACUGUGAGUCAAUGAAACCUGUUUCCUUUAUAAAUUACUCAGUCUCUGGUAUUCCUUUAUAGCAGUGUGAAAAUGGACUAAUAUACUUGCCCUUCAUCCCAACGAUGGAUUUAAGACUAGAGACAUUUCAAAUAGUAGGUUUUUUGCCAAAUGCCUUUCGCUGUAGAAAUUCUAUACAUGGCCUUUGUCUGUUACACUGGAAGUCCUGCCACUUCUUAGAUGGUGGAGAUUAAAACAGCGAUUUCUUGUGGUGGUGGCGGGGCUGGGGUUGGGAACAUUGAGGAUAAGGUGGGAGCUGCCCAUCUCAGACACUACUGAGAUAGUGGGAUGGGCCACAUAAAUGUCUAUGGAAGAGAUGCCUUUGCCAUACAAUUCCUUCAACAAAUACUCAUUGAUCACACACCAUAUCUGGGGGUGUAGCUGAGAACAAAACAAAGCUCCUGUUUUGAGGAGCUUUAGGCUGUAGAGAAAACAGAAAAUAAACAAGCAAGCAAAUGGAUGUUUUUAAGUGGCAAAAGUGCUAUAAAGGAAACAAGUAGUGGGAUGAGAUGAGGGGAGGAGAACUUCAGGUAAGGUGGCAUCAGAGCAGGAAGCUGAACUGAGGGUGAGUGAGCUGAGCUCAACAGAAAGGACUGUUGGACUGAGCCAGCCACAUGGAGAUCUGGAGAAGGGAAGAGGGCACUACCAUUUUGUUUUUGUUUUUUAUUGGAUUUAAGACGUCACUAUUGUACCUCUAAAAGAAAAAAAAAAACUGUAAUUAUAAUUGUAAAUUACAAAAUUGAUUGUAAAACACAUUUUGAUAACAAUGAAUUAAAAUAUGUUAAAUUACAUGCCUUAGCAUCAAUAUAUUAGUUCAAAAGCCCAGAAGUGUUAAACAAGCUUAGUGCUUAUCUAAGCAACUGAAAAGAAUCUGAUAUGUUUAUAGUUGGUGAAUGACAGAGAAAAAGAUAUGAGGUUUCAGGGGGGCAAAAGGAUAAAUCUUGAGGUCUUAGUUUAAUUAAAAACGGGUGAUGAUACCAUUUACUGAGAUAGGAGAGAUUUCAGGUUGCCAAGAUGUCAAUUUCAGACAUAUUUUAUAUAUGUUAAGUGACAAUUAAGAGAAGGAGGGUUAAAAGGAGACUUAAGAUUCAGUGAAAACUCAAGGUUUAUGAAGACUUUUGCUCCAUAUCCAUCAGGAAACCAGAAAUCCCUGAAAUUAAUAGCUGAAUAAAUAGAAUAAGGUCAACAUUAUUUUUAACACAUAUUUUUAUGUCAUAUGCAUACUAUGUCACCAUAAUCAGUAAACUGUUAAAGUGCCAGAAAAUGCUUCUACAUCAUUUUCAUUCUGACAGGAAGUAGAUAGAAAUGGCAUGUAUCUACGAAGCCAAGUUCUUUCAAAAUUUACAGCUUAAUUUCUCCAAUUGUUUAGAGUGAUAAAUUUUUCACUGAGGCCAUUGACCAGCACAAUAAUUGUGUCUACACAGCAUGUUUAUAUCAAAUACCAUUGCAUCUGUUAUGUCCUGUUCAUGCUGUGACCUUCCCAGAAGGCAGUUAGGGAUUGAAACUAGUACGCACAAUAGUGUAGAUCAGAAAACUGAUGUCAGGCUCUAGUGACAUGUGUAGGUACUGGCAGAACUGGAAUUAGAACCAGAUUUCUACAGUUGCACCCCUGGUUCUUUGCUCCAAAUGCUAAAGCCCUUGGUUAUUUGAUUUUCCUGUUGUCUUUAUCCUAUCCCCAGGCUCUAUUUGGGUUUCUGUAGUGAAAUUAAGGAUAACCUCAUCUGCAUGCUGUACUUUCUUAAAUAGAUUUUUCUAAUCUCCCAUACUCCCACAACCAUAAAUGACAAAAUACAAGCAUGCUUAGGAUCAUUGUGCCCCACAAUAAAAAAAGCUGUUGCUAUGUUUUGGAAACAGAUCAAUCUUGGUAUUUAAGUGUUGUUUGAACAAAGAUUAACUGAGCCUGUUCUCCUCCCCCAGGUACUCAGACCCAGAACAUACUGUUUUCACUCCAAGAGUCUGAAUGUCUCUUUUCUGAGAAAGAUGAAGAAAAAGUACUUUUUUCAUGAAUUUAAUACUCAUUAAAGUCAAUAGUCGGAAAGCCUGGCUAAUUAGCAGACUUCUUCAGAGGACUUUAAAUAAUAUAGUUACUGUAUUUUUAUUAUAUUGAAAUCUCCAAAUAUAUAAAGUUAGAAUCUUCAAGGUGGGAGGAAGAGGAGAAAUUGGAUUUCUCUAAGCUCCCUAGUGAUUCUGAUGAUGACUCAUUUGGGGAAGUGCAGCAUUGAAUGGCCCUUCUAAAAUGAGGACAGCUAUUUUUUGGACUAAGCACCCCUCCCGACUCUCCCCAUUCCUCAUCCUCUCAGAGACUUCUCUCUCUCAGAUUGCCCCAUCUGUCUCAUGUAUUAUAAUCACUUCCCCUCUACUGGUUUCUUCUCAUACGUUUAACUUGUUCAAGUGCCUUCCAUCUUUAAAAACAGUCAAGGCACAGCCCUUGAUUUAACCAUAGGAAGCCCGCUCCCCACCACCCUGCCAUCAGCUCUCUUCUUCCUGUGUAGUGAGCACUGCUUCUUUGAGCUUCUGAAAGCUGUAGUCACUGCCUCUUGCUGGUAACUGAAAGCACAUUUCUAAGUUCGCAUAUUCCCUGACUUCUUGACAGCACUCAUGACUCGCCAUCUCCUUUUCUGGAACACUGUUUGCUUGGCUUUCACAAUAUCAUGCUUUUCUAGUUCUUUUUCCUGUUUUGGACACUGCUUUACAGAGAAUUAACAUUCCUCUUUUUCCCGCUGACCCUGAAUCAAGAAAGAAUCAUGUUUCUUUCUUUAUUUUUUAUAUCUUAACUUUUGAGGGGUAGAUUUUCAAGCAUACAUAAAAGUGAAGAGAACAGGAUAAUGAACUAGGUGUACACAUGACUGCAUCUUAUCAGUGCAAUACACACUCAUAUUACUUUUUCUAUACUUCAUCCAUUUUCUCCCUGCUCCCUGACUUGGAUCAAAUCCCAGACAUUACAUUAUUUAACCUGCAAAUAUUUCAUCAUAUAUAUGUGGGAAUAUAUAGAUCUCUAUCACUAUAUAUAGUGAGAAUUUCUUUCAAAGAAAAGAUAAUCACAAUAUUAUAAUCUCAUCAAAUGUAGUUGUUAUAAUUCCUUAAUGUCAGUCUAAUAACAAUCCUGUUUUCACAAUUUCUUCUCUUGUAGAUUUUUAAAAAUUAAUUUUGUUGAAUUGAAAUCUAAAUAAGAUACAGAGAUAAAGAUUCAUUGACAUGUCCCUUAAGUAUUUUAGUUUAUAGGCUGUCCUACUAUAUUCCCUGCCUCUUCUUGCAUUUUAUCUUGAUUCAGUUGAAAACUCUGGGUCAUUUGUCUUAUAAAGUUCAUGGGGUCUGCAAUUUGGUGAAGGUGUCCUUUUGGCAUUAUUUAACAUGCGUCUCUGUUCCUUGUAUUUUCUAGAAAUUAUUGGUUAUAUCUAGAGGUUUGAUCAGAUUUAGGUGAAAUUAUAAAAAGAUUCCGUCAUAGGUGAUUUUGUGAAGUUCCAUCAGAAGGUACCCAUCUGGUUUUCUCUCCUUUUGUGAUGCUAGCAGCCACUGAAUAUGGUAAUCUACUCCAAUCAUUAACUAAAUUUCUUUUCUGGAAUUAUUCCAAAAGAGAAACUUUUUUCAUCAUGCAUUUGGUUGUCCUGAGGUAUGAUUGUAUAGGAAAAACAGGAUAACCUACUGAUACUUUCUGUUUAAACUAGUAUUCAAAAUAAUAAAAGUAGUCCCCUAGUAUUAUCUAAAGAUUUCAAAAGACUUUUAAAAAAAUUAUUGAUGAUUUUAUGAGCUCAGGGAUUAAACAUAGUCAAUCUGUUUCAAUCCCUUGCAGUUAUUCCAAUUAAUAAUCAAAUUUUCCUGCCUUUGGCUUGCGGCAGCGUAUUCAUGUUGAAUUCUGGGUCACUUUGACAUGACUCCAGUUGUCUUUGAUGGUAUCCUUUUUGUGACAAAAUGUCCCAGGAUUAUAAUUUCCUGUCCCAUACUGGGAAACAGCCAGUUCUCCAAAGAGCUCUGGAACCAUUCAGUGAGAAAUGUAUUUAGAUGCAACAUUCUGGGUGCUAAGCAUGCCCAUUAACCUGAUCAAUCUCACGUCUUUCCUUUCUUUCAGCAUUGCCAGAAAACUCAUUUCUCAGUGACACCAUUGUAAUUACUCAUUUGAUUAUCCCGCAAUACACAUAUAAGAGUCUCAGGAAAACAGUACCAUCAGCAUUAUAUGAGCUAAUUAAAAAUGUGGUGUCCUGGACUCACGAAGCCAGAAUUGCUGAGGAGAUAGCCCGAGAAUCUGAAUUUUUAGCAGACAUUUUUUUAGGUACCUUACCCGCAGGAUCAUUUCUGUGAAUAUCCAUGAGGUGAAAAAGUCUGGGAAACACUGUCCUAGGUAACUUUUUAAAAAAAUUUAUUUCAUUUUAAUUUUUUUUUUUUAGAAAUGGAAUCUCGCUCUGUCACCCAGGCUGGAGUGCACUGACACGAUCACAGCACACUGCAGCCUCAAACUCCUGGGCCUCAAGCAAUCCUUCUGUCUCAGCCUCUUGAGUUGCUGGGACUACAGGCAUGAGCCACUGUGCCAGGCUCUAGGCAACUGCUAUGCACAGUGAAAUUUGAGGACCACUGCCUUAAAUAUUGGUGUCCUUGGGUUCUUCUGUCUGGGCUAGAUUCCUUACUCACUAUUCUGCAACCCCAGCUGGGACAAUUCCAUCACUCCAUAGCUUCAUUUCCCAUAACCACAGAUUUGCUGGGUCUCAUACCUGGAAUCUACAGCCAUGCCCCUCAUUGUCUUUUGGCCAUCAACUUUUAAAUGUGUCCCAAAGGCUCCAAACCAAUAUGCAUCAGCCCCAAGGUGGAAGACAAAUCUCCAUGUGUCCUAAAUCAACUCACCUGGACUGUAUCCCACCUUUCUGCAGUCUAGCAAAUCAUUUUAAUUAUAAAUGAAACAUUUCACCCCCACAAGACUAUAUUGUUAUUAAUGGCAAGAACUUUAUCUUCUUCAGUGUAAAUAUUUCUCAGUAGUGUUAUAUUACAUUUUACAUGAAGGAUACUCAACAGACAAUAACGUCCACCUGAACUCAUUUCUGAGCUAGCAGCAGAAUUGGAAAGGAGUUUAAAUUCACCCCUGCUGCUUAGUAGCUAAGUGACUUUAAACAAGUUAUUCUACUAGUCUGAUAAUUAGGGUUUUCACCUGAAAACUGAGGGAAGCCAAUUCAUUUCAUAGGGCUGAUGAGGAAAAGCUUAAAAAACACCUGGAAAAAACCGCUAGGCUAUGGUAGGUGCUCAACAAUUAUCAAUGUCUUCCCCUGACAUUUAUCUUAUGAGGGAGGCAUUGGCCGCCAGUCACAGAUGACAAAGUGAAGACUCAAACAGGCAACAAAAGAGGUUCUCAGUGUUAUUUGGGGGUGGCACCCACCUUAUAGGGUUCACGUGAGGAUUUAAUUAGAUAACUCACGUACAUUAUCUAAGCUGAGCCUAGCUUGUAGUAUGUAUCCCCUUAAAUGUAAGCUUCCUAAGAACAAGAAUUUUGUCUCUUCUCUUCAUUACUGGGUCCCAAGCACCUAAAAUUGUGUAUGCUGCAUUGUAGGAACUCAAUACAUAUUUGUUGAUAACACGAAUACUAAUUCCCAAUCCCCAUUUUCAAUAUUUCAUUCAUUGUGAACCUAACAUUGAGACACUUCUGCUCACCAUGUAUCCUGCCUGUGUUGGUGUAUAUUCAGCUCACCUUUGCUGGACACAAGAAAUAAGGAGAAAGGGCUCCUGUUUAGUGGCUUGACAAAUCAGCUAAUAGAAAAAUAUUAAAAUCCACCUGGGCAAAACAAAAAAGAAAGACAUAGUGUGAGAUGUAGCCAAUCCCUGUGGGAGAAGGGGUUAAGAGAGAAUAUUGGAGUUGAACAGCACGACUCAAGGGAGCAGCUUUGAAACAAUGAAAGAAUCUAGAAAUGAUUAUGAUGUGGGUACAUAGCAGGUGGUGGGGUAGAAAGGAGGCUGGGGGAAGAGAAAAUUAGAAACAGCAGGGACAGGGCUGGCACUAGCACAGACAGUGAGGUGAAAGCUGGCACUGGAAUAGGAUUAGGCUAUUAGAACAGCAGCUGAUUGCAGUCAGGACAAAUGGGCACUGAGCUGGUGCCAAUAAUGGCAGAAAAUAAAGAAGAAAGCAAAUAGAACCUGAAGUGGCAGUAAAUUUAAAAUUAGACAGAUGAACAUGUAGUCUAAGACCCAUUUAUUAAUCCCUGCAUUCACUCUUCCGUAGUAAUAUAUACAGUCUUUACAGGGCAGGUUUCUUUCCCCUCCAAUAACAUGCUUGUAUUUCCCCCAAAUACCUUGAAGGAAUAAACAAAAGAAUAUAAAUUAUGGCUUUUUUGAGCACUAAGCAAUUUCUAAAGGAGUGCAAGGAUCCCCUAAUCAAGUAGCUGUGUAUCAAUAAUAGGAGUUUUUAAAGGAGCAGAUCUGUUGUGUGGGAUAAGUCAGAGAUUAGUGUGCCAGUGCUCCAGAGAAAUGAGAGGAAGGUAGAAGAAGGUCUGCAGUAAGUAGAUUUCAGUUUGUGCGUAAUCAAUGAGAACCUGCAACCUGGUAGAGAAGUUUAACAUGCACUCUCAACCUUUGAAAUGUUAAAAAAUAGGAUUGCUGUCAGAAAGUAAGACUCGUCUUACAAGAUAAGUUUUUAUCUCUAUCUUUAUUCAGACAGGAAACGCCACGAAGUGUCUGGAUCAAAGAACAGACUAUUGCUCACAGAGCACCUUCAUAGCAUUGUUCCUCAUGCCCCCGUUGCCCAAGGGGAUGGCAGGUUGAGGACCAGAUGUACUUGCAUGUUCAGGGGAUGCAGCACAGAAGAGGAACUCCAAAAUUAUUAUUAUUAUUGUUAUUAUUAUUAUUUUUGAGAUGGAGUCUCGCUCUGUCGCCCAGCCUGGAGUGCAGUGGCGUGAUCUCGGCUCACUGCAAGCUCCGCCUCCCGGGUUCACGCCAUUCUCCUGCCUCAGCCUCCCGAGUAGCUGGGACUACAGGCACGCACCGCCACGCCCUGUUAAUUUUUUUUGUAUUUUUUUUUAGUAGAGACAGGGUUUCACCGUGUUAGCCAGGAUGGUCUUGAUCUCCUGACCUCGUGAUCCACCCGCCUCGGCCUCCCAAAGUGCUGGGAUUACAGGCGUGAGCCACCGCGCCCGGCCGAACUCCAAAAUUAUUAAACUCUGAGCGUCUGCAGGUGACUGACACAUCUGCGCUUCCUUUCUUCCAGGGUGUGGGGAAGAGCGAGAAAAAGAUUUCCGCUCUGGAAGGUAAACAAAUACUCUCUGGAGAGAGAAGAGGAAUGUCCCUAGCAGAUGUCUCCAGAGAAGACAAGACUUUAAAUUCCGCCAGGGAAAUAUACAAUGUCUAACUUCUAAGGCACAUUUGCCAUUCAAUCAUGCUUUAACCCACGUUGCCAGAAAUUUUUGCUCACUAGGUUUUGACUGUACAGGAAUGUGAAAAUAUUCAUGAAGAGUUGUUUUCCAAUGCUAAAGAAUUGAUGUGUUUUAACAGUUGAAUUAAUUGUAUUGAUUAUGAUCACACCUACUUUUUAUAUAUCUUCAUUUCUAACGUUUCUGUACAAUCCUGCCUUUCCACCUGAUAUAGUUAGGCCUUGUGUCAUCAACCAAAUCUCAUCUUGAAUUGUAAUCGCCAUAAUCCCCACGUAUUUAGGGAGAGACCUGGAGGGAGGUGUUUGGAUCAUGGGGGCGGUUUCCCGCAUGCUGUUCUCAUGACCAUGAGAGUAAGUUCUCAAGAGAUCUGAUGGUUUUAUAAGCGUCUGUCAUUUCCACUGCUUGCACUUCUGUGUCCUGCCACCUUGUGAAGAAGGACGUGGUUGCUUCCCCUUCCACCAUGAUUGUGUUUCCUGAGGCCUCCCCAGCCUUGCAGAGCUGUGAGUCAAUUAAACCUCUUUCCUUUAUAAAUUACUCAGUCUCUGUAUUCCUCUGCAGCAGUGUGAGAACAGACUAAUACAUCACCACUUUAUUUACUUUACUCUCUCCCCAUACCGAGGUUUUCUACAUUUUCUUUCUAGGUCUCUACAGUUUCUGCAAAGAUCCUUUAUGGAACUCUUAGGGAAGCUGGGAUGUAUAAUAAAUAAAGGGCUCUUUUCUUUGAGUCCCACACCCAUUUUCUGUGUAUAAAAAUCUUCAACUCCACUUUUGUCUGUUCUAUUUAAAUGUGUGCACAUUUCCUUCUAAUGUUGUAUAUGAAAAAGAGACACCUCUUAGCAGUCUUUCAUAGAGCAAAAUUUUUUACUUUGAUAAAAUCUAAUUUAUCAAUAUUUUUAAAUUUUAUGGAUCAAUCAUGCUUUUGAGGUUGAAUUUAAGAAUGCUUUGCCUAGCCCUAGAUCCCAAGUAUCUUUUAAAAAUUAUUUUUCUAAAUGCAUUAUUUAUGUUUUACACUUAAGUCUAUAAUCCAUUUUGAGUCCAUGUGUAAGAUUUAGGUUAAGGUCAAGAUUUAUCUGUUUUUGUUGUUUUCUCUAUAAAUGUCAAUUGCUCCAGCACUAUUUGUUUAAAAGCCAAUCUUUCCUCCGCUGAGUUCUUCCUAUAAGUUUGUCAAAAGUCAAUUUGGCAUCUUUGUAUAAGUUUAUUUCUGGAUUCUCUAUUCUGUUUUAUUGAUCACUGCAUCUAUCCCUCUUGAUUAGCUAGAUAAUAAAUCCUACAAUAAGGUAGAAUUCUUCCCACUUUAUUCAUAUUCAAAAUAUUUUAAAGCUAUUCUAGUUUCUUUUUAUUUCCAUAUAUAUUUUAGGAUAAUCUUAUCUAUAUUUACAACAUAUGUUGCUAGGAUUUUGAUAGAAUUUGUUUUAAAUUUGUGUAUCAAUGUAGGGAAGACCUGACAUCUUUACUAUUACGUUGAUCUUCCAAUCAAUGAAUAUGGUAUAUCUCUCAGUUUAUAGCUAUUGUCUUUAAUUUAUUUCAUCAUGGUUUUUAGUUUUCAGCAGAGAAGCUUUAUACAUGUUUUGUUAUACAUGUAUAACAAAAGAAGCCUUAUACACUGACAUUUUAUAUUUUGAACAAUUGUAAAUGGUAUUGUUUAAAAAUUUUGUUGUCUAUGAUAGAAAUAAAAUUGAUUUUUGUAGGUUUAUCUUGUAACCUAUGACUUGCUGAGCUCGCUCAUUAGUUUUUUUAUUGUGAUAAAAUAUACAUGAGAUAAAUUUCAUCAUUAUAAUCAUUAAGUUUAGACAUCAAUUGCAUUAAGUACAUAAAUGCCUUAUGCAACCAUCAUCUCUAUCCAUCUCCAGACCCUUUGCAUCACCCUAAAAUGAAACUCUGUGCCCAUUAAACAAUAACUCCCCAUUCUGCCCUCACCCCAGCCCUUGGUAAUUACCAUCCUACCUUUUAUCUCUAUAAAUUUAACCAUCCCAGGUAACUCAUAUAAGUGGAAUCAUGCAGUGUUUGUCCUUUUGUAACUGGUUUAUUUCACUUAGCAUGAUGUCUUCAAGGUUUGCCUAUGUCAUAGCAUGUGUCAGAAUUUCAUCCCUUUUUAAACUUAAAUAAUAUUCCACUGUAGGCAUAUGCCACAUUUUGUUUAUUUGUUCAUCUGUUGAUGGGCAUUUGGGUUGUUUCCACCUUUUGGCUACUGUGAAUAAUGCUGCUGUGAUCAUGGGUAUGCAACUGUCUCCUGGAGUCCCUGCUAUCAAUUCUUGUGGGUAUAUACCCAGAAGUGGAAUUGUUGCAACAUAUAGUAAUUCUAUGUUUAAUUUUUUGAGGACCUGCCAUAAUGUUUUCCACAGUAGCUACAUUGUCUUAUAUUCCCAUUAAGAGUUCCAAUUUCCUCACAUCUUCACCAAUACUUAUUGUUUUCUGUUUUUUUAAAUAAUAGCCAUCAUAAUAAAAGUAACAUGGUAUCUCA